Molecule: ribosomal RNA, 290 nt
Filed under: uncultured soil bacterium
Lineage: Bacteria
Description: partial 16S ribosomal RNA
Rfam family: Bacterial small subunit ribosomal RNA
Source: RNAcentral
AGAACGAACGCUGGCGGCAUGCCUAAUACAUGCAAGUCGAACGAACACUUCGGUGUUAGUGGCGCACGGGUGCGUAACGCGUGGGAAUCUGCCCUUGGGUUCGGAAUAACAGUUGGAAACGACUGCUAAUACCGGAUGAUAUCGAAAGAUACAAAGUAUUUAUCCGACCCGAGGGAUGACGCCCGACGGUAGGAUUAGCUAGUUGGUGAAGGUAAAGCUCACCGAAGGCGACGAUCCUAGCUGGUCUGAGAGGAUGAUCACGCCACACGUGGGACUGAGACACGGCCCAG